This 440-nucleotide ribosomal RNA is filed under the name uncultured bacterium. Its description in RNAcentral is "partial 16S ribosomal RNA". It matches the Rfam family "Bacterial small subunit ribosomal RNA", at positions 338 to 795 of the family's 1533-position model. The record is from RNAcentral.
CCUACGGGGAGCAGCAGUGGGGGAUAUUGCACAAUGGGGGAAACCCUGAUGUAGCGACGCCGCGUGUGGGAAGACGGUCUUCUGGAUUGUAAACCACUGUCCCCAGGGACGAAAAUGACGGUACCUGGGGAGGAAGCUCCGGCUAACUACGUGCCAGCAGCCGCGGUAAUACGUAGGGAGCAAGCGUUGUCCGGAAUUACUGGGUGUAAAGGGAGCGUAGGCGGGGAUGCAAGUUGGGUGUCAAAACUACCGGCUCAACCGAUAGUCGCACUCAAAACUGCAGCUCUUGAGUGAAGUAGAGGCAGGCGGAAUUCCUAGUGUAGCGGUGAAAUGCGUAGAUAUUAGGAGGAACACCAGUGGCGAAGGCGGCCUGCUGGGCUUUUACUGACGCUGAGGCUCGAAAGUGUGGGGAGCAAACAGGAUUAGAUACCCUGGUAGUC